GCAACUUACCUAUCAGAGGGGGAUAACCCGGCGAAAGUCGGACUAAUACCGCAUGAAGCAGGGGCCCCGCAUGGGGAUAUUUGCUAAAGAUUCAUCGCUGAUAGAUAGGCAUGCGUUCCAUUAGGCAGUUGGCGGGGUAACGGCCCACCAAACCGACGAUGGAUAGGGGUUCUGAGAGGAAGGUCCCCCACAUUGGUACUGAGACACGGACCAAACUCCUACGGGAGGCAGCAGUGAGGAAUAUUGGUCAAUGGGCGUAAGCCUGAACCAGCCAAGUCGCGUGAGGGAUGAAGGUUCUAUGGAUCGUAAACCUCUUUUAUAAGGGAAUAAAGUGCGGGACGUGUCCCGUUUUGUAUGUACCUUAUGAAUAAGGAUCGGCUAACUCCGUGCCAGCAGCCGCGGUAAUACGGAGGAUCCGAGCGUUAUCCGGAUUUAUUGGGUUUAAAGGGUGCGUAGGCGGCCUUUUAAGUCAGCGGUGAAAGUCUGUGGCUCAACCAUAGAAUUGCCGUUGAAACUGGGGGGCUUGAGUAUGUUUGAGGCAGGCGGAAUGCGUGGUGUAGCGGUGAAAUGCUUAGAUAUCACGCAGAACCCCGAUUGCGAAGGCAGCCUGCCAAGCCAUGACUGACGCUGAUGCACGAAAGCGUGGGGAUCAAACAGGAUUAGAUACCCUGGUAGUCCACGCAGUAAACGAUGAUCACUAGCUGUUUGCGAUACACUGUAAGCGGCACAGCGAAAGCGUUAAGUGAUCCACCUGGGGAGUACGCCGGCAACGGUGAAACUCAAAGGAAUUGACGGGGGCCCGCACAAGCGGAGGAACAUGUGGUUUAAUUCGAUGAUACGCGAGGAACCUUACCCGGGUUUGAACGCAUUCGGACCGAGGUGGAAACACCUUUUCUAGCAAUAGCCGUUUGCGAGGUGCUGCAUGGUUGUCGUCAGCUCGUGCCGUGAGGUGUCGGCUUAAGUGCCAUAACGAGCGCAACCCUUGCCACUAGUUACUAACAGGUAAAGCUGAGGACUCUGGUGGGACUGCCAGCGUAAGCUGCGAGGAAGGCGGGGAUGACGUCAAAUCAGCACGGCCCUUACAUCCGGGGCGACACACGUGUUACAAUGGCGUGGACAAAGGGAUGCCACCUGGCGACAGGGAGCGAAUCCCCAAACCACGUCUCAGUUCGGAUCGGAGUCUGCAACCCGACUCCGUGAAGCUGGAUUCGCUAGUAAUCGCGCAUCAGCCAUGGCGCGGUGAAUACGUUCCCGGGCCUUGUACACACCGCCCGUCAAGCCAUGGGAGCCGGGGGUACCUGAAGUCCGUAACCGCGAGGAUCGGCCUAGGGUAAAACUGGUGACUGGGGCUAAGUCGUAACA
RNAcentral lists this ribosomal RNA (1362 nucleotides) under Parabacteroides distasonis. RNAcentral's name for it is "16S ribosomal RNA". It matches the Rfam family "Bacterial small subunit ribosomal RNA", at positions 121 to 1493 of the family's 1533-position model. The record is from RNAcentral. Lineage: Bacteria; Pseudomonadati; Bacteroidota; Bacteroidia; Bacteroidales; Tannerellaceae.